RNAcentral lists this long non-coding RNA (777 nucleotides) under Homo sapiens (human). RNAcentral describes it as "HSALNT0087478". Lineage: Eukaryota; Metazoa; Chordata; Mammalia; Primates; Hominidae. The record is from RNAcentral.
UGGCCAGUGAUGAUGAGCAUUUUUUCAUGUGUUUUUUGGCUGCACAGAUGUCUUCUUUUGAGAAGUGUCUGUUCAUAUCCUUCGCCCACAUUUUGAUGGGGUUGUUUGCUUUUUUCUUGUAAAUUUGUUGGAGUUCUUUGUAGAUUCCGGAUAUUAGCCCUUUGUCGGAUGAGUAGAUUGCAAACAUUUUCUCCCAUUCUGUAGGUUGCAUGUUCACUCUGAUGGUAGUUUCUUUUGCUGUGCAGAAGCUCUUUAGUUUAAUUAGAUCCCAUUUGUCAAUUUUGGCUUUAGUUGCCAUUGCUUUUGGUGUUUUAGAUAUGAAGUCCUUGCCCAUGCCUAUGUCCUGAAUGGUAUUGCCUAGGUUUUCUUCUAGGGUUUUUAUGGUUUUAGGUCUAACAUUCAAGUCUUUAAUCCAUCUUGAAUGAAUUUUUGUAUAAGGUGUAAGAUCCAGUUUCAGCUUUCUACAUAUGGCUAGCCAGUUUUCCCAGCACCAUUUAUUAAAUAGGGAAUCCUUUCCCCAUUGCUUGUUUUUGUCAGGUUUGUCAAAGAUCAGAUGGUUGUAGAUGUGUGGUAUUAUUUCUGAGGUCUCUGUUCUGUUCCAUUGAUCUAUAUCUCUGUUUUGGUACCAGUACAAUGCUGUUUUGGUUACUGUAGCCUUGUAGUAUAGUUUGAAGUCAGGUAACAUGAUGCCUCCAGCUUUGUUCUUUUUGCUUAGGAUUGACUUGGCAGUGCAGGCUCUUUUUUUGGUUCCAUAUGAACUUUAAAGUAGUUUUUUCU